AGAGUGAACGCUGGCGGUAGGCCUAACACAUGCAAGUCGAACGGCAGCACGGUAAGAGCUUGCUCUUAUGGGUGGCGAGUGGCGGACGGGUGAGGAAUACAUCGGAAUCUACCUUUUGGUGGGGGAUAACGUAGGGAAACUUACGCUAAUACCGCAUACGCCCUUCGGGGGAAAGCCGGGGACCAGCAAUGGCCUGGUGCUGAUAGAUGAGCCGAUGUCGGAUUAGCUAGUUGGUGAGGUAAUGGCUCACCAAGGCGACGAUCCGUAGCUGGUCUGAGAGGAUGAUCAGCCACACUGGAACUGAAGACACGGUCCAGACUCCGUACGGGAGCAGCA
This 336-nucleotide ribosomal RNA is filed under the name uncultured soil bacterium. Its description in RNAcentral is "bacterial SSU rRNA". It matches the Rfam family "Bacterial small subunit ribosomal RNA", at positions 26 to 353 of the family's 1533-position model. The record is from RNAcentral.